RNAcentral lists this transfer RNA (88 nucleotides) under Halobacteriovorax marinus. RNAcentral's name for it is "tRNA-Ser". It matches the Rfam family "tRNA". From Rfam's summary of the family: Transfer RNA (tRNA) molecules are approximately 80 nucleotides in length. Their secondary structure includes four short double-helical elements and three loops (D, anti-codon, and T loops). The record is from RNAcentral. Lineage: Bacteria; Pseudomonadati; Bdellovibrionota; Bacteriovoracia; Bacteriovoracales; Halobacteriovoraceae.
GGAGAAUUGGCCGAGUGGUCUAUGGCGCACGCUUGGAAGGCGUGAGUACAGCAAUGUACCGAGAGUUCGAAUCUCUUGUUCUCCGCCA